This is a long non-coding RNA of Syngnathoides biaculeatus (alligator pipefish), 326 nucleotides long. RefSeq lists it as uncharacterized. Lineage: Eukaryota; Metazoa; Chordata; Actinopteri; Syngnathiformes; Syngnathidae. The record is from RefSeq and is a predicted model, not a curated record. The transcript is spliced from 3 exons.
CAUUUCCGGCUCUUUUUCUAAACUGAGUUGCCGUCAAGAAAAGAAGAAUAUACUUAAGUCUAAACCAAACACUUUUACGCCUAUCGUUACUCUGAGGUAACGUUGAAAUAAAAGUGAAAUUCCAGAUCAUGCUGGCGUAUGUUGUGCUGAUCGAGUGGCAGCAAGCCUCCAGAUUUCACUUUUUGGAGGAUUCAACGUUUCGCACGAGGUAUCUCCGCAUUGCUUAGCGACAGCAAGCAAAAGUUUUCGGCCCAGUCCGGGAUUGAAUUCCCGUCGCGAAGCGUGCACCGACCGGCAAUGUGCGGCGGCAUGACGGCGACGUAGUC